RNAcentral lists this ribosomal RNA (253 nucleotides) under uncultured bacterium. RNAcentral describes it as "partial 16S ribosomal RNA". It matches the Rfam family "Bacterial small subunit ribosomal RNA", at positions 524 to 776 of the family's 1533-position model. The record is from RNAcentral.
UACGUAGGGUGCGAGCGUUAAUCGGAAUUACUGGGCGUAAAGCGUGCGCAGGCGGUUAUGUAAGACAGAUGUGAAAUGCCCGGGCUUAACCUGGGAACUGCAUCUGUGACUGCAUGGCUAGAGUUUGGCAGAGGGGGGUAGAAUUCCACGUGUAGCAGUGAAAUGCGUAGAUAUGUGGAGGAACACCGAUGGCGAAGGCAGCCCCCUGGGUCAAGACUGACGCUCAUGCACGAAAGCGUGGGGAGCAAACAGG